GUCCACGCUGUAAACGAUGAGAACUAGAUGUUGGUAGGCCUAGCCUAUUAGUAUCGAAGCUAACGCGAUAAGUUCUCCGCCUGGGGAGUACGGCCGCAAGGUUAAAACUCAAAGGAAUUGACGGGGGCCCGCACAAGCGGUGGAGCAUGUGGUUUAAUUCGAUGCAACGCGAAGAACCUUACCUACCCUUGACAUCCACGGAAUCCUGCAGAGAUGCGGGAGUGCAGAAAGGAACCGUGAGACAGGUGCUGCAUGGCUGUCGU
RNAcentral lists this ribosomal RNA (263 nucleotides) under uncultured bacterium. RNAcentral describes it as "partial 16S ribosomal RNA". It matches the Rfam family "Bacterial small subunit ribosomal RNA", at positions 793 to 1055 of the family's 1533-position model. The record is from RNAcentral.